Molecule: ribosomal RNA, 372 nt
Filed under: uncultured bacterium
Lineage: Bacteria
Description: bacterial SSU rRNA
Rfam family: Bacterial small subunit ribosomal RNA
Source: RNAcentral
ACGAAGGGGGCUAGCGUUGCUCGGAAUGACUGGGCGUAAAGGGCGCGUAGGCGGCUCGUUUUGUCAGGCGUGAAAGUCCUGGGCUUAACCUGGGGAUUGCGUUUGGGACGGAUGGGCUUGAGUGGGGAAGAGGGUCGUGGAAUUCCCAGUGUAGAGGUGAAAUUCGUAGAUAUUGGGAAGAACACCGGUGGCGAAGGCGGCGACCUGGUCCUUGACUGACGCUGAGGCGCGAGAGCGUGGGGAGCAAACAGGAUUAGAUACCCUGGUAGUCCACGCUGUAAACGAUGUGCGCUGGAUGUUGGGCAGCCUAGCUGCUUAGUGUCGUAGCUAACGCGGUAAGCGCACCGCCUGGGGAGUACGGCCGCAAGGUUG